Molecule: ribosomal RNA, 769 nt
Filed under: Enterobacteriaceae bacterium DHL-24
Lineage: Bacteria; Pseudomonadati; Pseudomonadota; Gammaproteobacteria; Enterobacterales; Enterobacteriaceae
Description: bacterial SSU rRNA
Rfam family: Bacterial small subunit ribosomal RNA
Source: RNAcentral
UCAGAUUGAACGCUGGCGGCAGGCCUAACACAUGCAAGUCGAACGGUAACAGGAAGCAGCUUGCUGCUUCGCUGACGAGUGGCGGACGGGUGAGUAAUGUCUGGGAAACUGCCUGAUGGAGGGGGAUAACUACUGGAAACGGUAGCUAAUACCGCAUAACGUCGCAAGACCAAAGAGGGGGACCUUCGGGCCUCUUGCCAUCGGAUGUGCCCAGAUGGGAUUAGCUAGUAGGUGGGGUAACGGCUCACCUAGGCGACGAUCCCUAGCUGGUCUGAGAGGAUGACCAGCCACACUGGAACUGAGACACGGUCCAGACUCCUACGGGAGGCAGCAGUGGGGAAUAUUGCACAAUGGGCGCAAGCCUGAUGCAGCCAUGCCGCGUGUAUGAAGAAGGCCUUCGGGUUGUAAAGUACUUUCAGCGGGGAGGAAGGGAGUAAAGUUAAUACCUUUGCUCAUUGACGUUACCCGCAGAAGAAGCACCGGCUAACUCCGUGCCAGCAGCCGCGGUAAUACGGAGGGUGCAAGCGUUAAUCGGAAUUACUGGGCGUAAAGCGCACGCAGGCGGUUUGUUAAGUCAGAUGUGAAAUCCCCGGGCUCAACCUGGGAACUGCAUCUGAUACUGGCAAGCUUGAGUCUCGUAGAGGGGGGUAGAAUUCCAGGUGUAGCGGUGAAAUGCGUAGAGAUCUGGAGGAAUACCGGUGGCGAAGGCGGCCCCCUGGACGAAGACUGACGCUCAGGUGCGAAAGCGUGGGGAGCAAACAGGAUAAUA